Molecule: ribosomal RNA, 433 nt
Filed under: uncultured bacterium
Lineage: Bacteria
Description: partial 16S ribosomal RNA
Rfam family: Bacterial small subunit ribosomal RNA
Source: RNAcentral
AACGAACGCUGGCGGCAUGCCUAACACAUGCGAGUCGAACGAGACCUUCGGGUCUAGUGGCGCACGGGUGCGUAACGCGUGGGAACCUGCCCUUAGGUUCGGAAUAACUCCCCGAAAGGGGUGCUAAUACCGGAUAAUGUCUUCGGACCAAAGAUUUAUCGCCUUUGGAUGGGCCCGCGUUGGAUUAGCUAGUUGGUAGGGUAAAAGCCUACCAAGGCGACGAUCCAUAGCUGGUCUGAGAGGAUGAUCAGCCACACUGGGACUGAGACUCGGCCCAGACUCCUACGGGAGGCAGCAGUGGGGAAUAUUGGACAAUGGGCGAAAGCCUGAUCCAGCAAUGCCGCGUGAGUGAUGAAGGCCUUAGGGUUGUAAAGCUCUUUUACCCGGGAUGAUAAUGACAGUACCGGGAGAAUAAGCUCCGGCUAACUCCGUG